UACGAAGGACCCGAGCGUUAUCCGGAUUUAUUGGGUUUAAAGGGCGCGUAGGCGGCCAGCGCAAGUCAGUUGUGAAAUCUCCGGGCUUAACUCGGAACGGUCAACUGAUACUGCGCGGCUAGAGUGCAGAAGGGGCAACUGGAAUUCUCGGUGUAGCGGUGAAAUGCGUAGAUAUCGAGAGGAACACCUGCGGCGAAGGCGGGUUGCUGGGCUGACACUGACGCUGAUGCGCGAAAGCCAGGGGAGCGAACGGG
RNAcentral lists this ribosomal RNA (254 nucleotides) under uncultured bacterium. RNAcentral's name for it is "partial 16S ribosomal RNA". It matches the Rfam family "Bacterial small subunit ribosomal RNA", at positions 524 to 776 of the family's 1533-position model. The record is from RNAcentral.